AAGGACUCAAGAGUUCGGGGAAUUUGCAAUCUUCUUAGGCAGACGAGACAAAUCCACGGGAGCAAGGAAGCAAGUCUCACCGCAGAAUUCUUCAAACUCAUGAAUUCGCCGGCUACCUUCGUUUUCAGCAGCCCCUCCCUCUCCUGGCUCUGAGCCGCCGGUGGUCUCCAG
Molecule: long non-coding RNA, 171 nt
Filed under: Capra hircus (goat)
Lineage: Eukaryota; Metazoa; Chordata; Mammalia; Artiodactyla; Bovidae
Description: lncRNA (ENSCHIG00000002404.1)
Source: RNAcentral